UACGUAGGGUGCGAGCGUUGUCCGGAAUUACUGGGCGUAAAGAGCUCGUAGGUGGUUUGUCGCGUCGUCUGUGAAAUUCCGGGGCUUAACUCCGGGCGUGCAGGCGAUAGGGGCAAUACUUGAGUGCUGUAGGGGAGACUGGAAUUCCUGGUGUAGCGGUGAAAUGCGCAGAUAUCAGGAGGAACACCGAUGGCGAAGGCAGGUCUCUGGGCAGUAACUGACGCUGAGGAGCGAAAGCAUGGGUAGCGAACAGGAUUAGA
Molecule: ribosomal RNA, 260 nt
Filed under: uncultured prokaryote
Description: partial 16S ribosomal RNA
Rfam family: Bacterial small subunit ribosomal RNA
Source: RNAcentral